GAAGCUAUGCUACGCGCCGGUGAGCCAAGUUGACCGCGGCUGGAGGAAGACAAAAGACGACCUCACAAAGGACAAAACCUGCUCCCACAAGAUCGUCGCCAAACCCUACAUCGCCGGCGGCGCCGUCGCCACCGCCACCUGGACGGUGCAGAGGGACGUCCCCACCGCAAAGUACUUCGUCAGGGCAUACGCACACAACGCUUCUGACAUGGAAGUGGCGUACGGACAGACAACAAGCACCGAAAAGAAGACGAACCUGUUCGACAUCGAAGCUGUCACAGGACGACACGUGUCACUCGACAUAGCGUCGAUCUGCUUUUCCGCUUUCUCGGUUGUUUCUCUGUUCGGAUUCUUCUUCCUCGAGAGGAGGAAGACCAGGAUUGCUGAAGCUAAGUGAUGAGGGUUUUAUUUUUUUGGGAUUUAUAAUUAAUUAAUAAUUAUCAUUUCUGUUGUGUGAACAAGAAAAAAAAAAAAAAAAAAAAAAGAGUUGUGUUUGCUUUGCUUAAUUACAUUUUCUGUUAAUUGUGUUUAAAUUUUAUUACAAUUUUGUUUGUAAUUUAUUUUGUAAUUAGUUUACGCGGAAUAUUUUGUAAUUCACUGUGAUACGAAAUUUUAUUCAAUUGCAUCUUUUGUUCUUGAAAGUUGGAAUUUGUUUAUUUUUUAUUUAUUUAUUUUAUUUUUUAGACCAACACGAGUCCCCAAUGUUAGAAUUAUUUUGUGCAAAUUAAUUAUAAAUUUGUGUCCGAUAAAUUCCAGAUUCAGUUUUAGCUACUGUUCUACUGUUUUACGAAGAGUUGCAACAGUUAAUGGAACAGUAAUAAAAAGACACAAAUUUUAAAGUGGUUCGAAUACAAUUGUACCCUACAUCCACGGGGACCUGCAAAUGAAAUUCACUAAUUUUUAGUUUUACGAAUACAGUAAUAGGACUUAAUCGAAAAUGCAAAGACUCCCUCUUUGUCGACGCCGUUCUUGUAUCCUAUGCUGAAUUGUGAAUCUUCACUUUGCACCACGUCCCUUUCCGCACGGUUGAAAUUCCUUCAACGCUGAGUCCCUCAGUCGGCGGAUCGACCUCCUCCCGAGAUCUUCUGAGUUCUCCUCCCGAAGAACCGAUCUUCUUUUCGCGUGAAAGAAGCAAAUCUUUUGCUGUGUUUUUCUUCUCGAAUAAGAUCACAACUUAGGAGCAGCAACGUAAGAGCAGGAAAAGUUUUUCUCUCAAAUAAAAGGGACAACGUAUAAAAACGUUGAUGCUGCCCUUCUUAUACUUCAUUUGGUGAAUUAGUAGAGCCCUACAAAAAUUAGAGCCCAUUAGGUUAGAAAUACUCUUCACGUAAGGAACAAGGAGUUAUGUAAAACAAGGAAAGUCUUAGUCAAUUAAAUUCCUUGUUAAUAAAACACUUAGGCAAUUAAAUAAAUUAAUGACAAAAUAAGAGUUUAAAGAACUAAGGAAACUUCCCUAGUUUUUAUACACGUUUUUCGCACACGUGUUGAAAAACCGAAAUAGAAUCCUCUCGGAUUCUAACAAUCUCCCCCUUUGUCAUCUAUUUAUUAUAAUCAAGUCCUCCCCCUUGAUCAAAUACCUGACAAAACAUUAGACUGCAUAAUAGAGUAACUGUUAGAACAGUUAAAGGAAAAAGCAGUUAACGAAACAAGAAAAAAGUUAAGCCUAGCAGACUAUUAGAGGCCGUUGUUCAGAAAAUCAAUUCGACAACCACAAAAAAACUACUCCAGAAUACAUUCAGCAUCAACGAACAACUCCUCGUCAUCAUUCGUAUCAACUUCAGCUGUUGUACCAUCAAUUGUUGGAACAGUUGGAGCAACAACAGUUCAGUAGUAGUUCCAGCAGCUGCAUCAGCUCCCCCUGUAUGCGGUUCCUCCUGGGUUGAUGCUUCGUUGUCAACUCCCCCUCAAGAAUAAUCUCCCCCUUUCUGAGCAAGGGCAGUAAAAUAGUCGAGUUUCUUCUUCGUAAAAACGACCUCGAAAAUCAGAGACCCCACUAGGUAGGUUGGCAUAAAAAUCAUGAACCACUUGACAGACGCCACCGGGUUUGAUGCGCUCGGAGAAAGAACCGAGAAUUAAAAGCAUCGACAGCAGAGAUAGGCACCACGGGAUCCGGUGCAGAGUGACCUGCGGUGGUGCGAGUAGCGGAAGGCGAGGCAGAGUGAGUAACGCGUCGACGAGAGCGGCGAGGUGGCGGGGUGCAGGUGAGGCCGGUUUGGGUGGUUGCGAUGGCGGUGCACACGGUGGUGGUGACGAUUGGGCAGCCGGCGAGUGUGGCAGUAGAGGAGAUGGUGGAGAAUAGAUGAACGGUGACGGCGGUGAGACUGGCGGCGACAGCGGUGGAGAAAACCUAGGGACCAAAAUGAGUGGCAGAUUGCCAAAAUUGUCGACGGAGGCGGCCGUGAGGACCGUCGUUUGGACGACGAGGAUGAACCACCGAUGUUUUUUUUUUUUUUUUUUUUAUUUCUUUUGCCCAUGACGAUGUUGUUGAUUCCCUUCGACUGUGUUGAAUUUUUGGGGUUUUGCUGCAAAAGAAGAAGAAGAAGCAAACAGAGCAGUAGGGAAGAAGAAAAAUUGGAGAGAAAAAAAUGAAUACGGGGUUCUCCAAGGAUGACUGUUGGUCUGCUCAGGGGUUGUUUAGCAAUUAGGAAUAGUCAAGUGAGAGAAUUGCAAAUAUAAUAAUUAUGCUCACAAUAAAUUCAAUUAAUGGAAAUCAAAUUCAGAUACAACAACUCUCAACUUUCGCAUAUGAAGCCCAACACAGUUCAAAUAAACUUCGAGAAGAAAAAAAUGCUAAGAACAGUGAGUUACUCCGAAGAAAUAUAUUGCCGCCAAAAAUUACGGACCCACCCCCGGAUUUUUUUUUUUUUUUUUUUUUUUUUUUUUAAUAAAUAAAUAAAUGCCUAACAUGCAGAGGCAAAUAACUAAGACGAAAAUAAGUCAAAAGCACUGGCAUCCCACAAGACAGCAGCUGCCUGCGUCUAGGAUACUAUUAGGACUANNNNNNNNNNNNNNNNNNNNNNNNNNNNNNNNNNNNNNNNNNNNNNNNNNNNNNNNNNNNNNNNNNNNNNNNNNNNNNNNNNNNNNNNNNNNNNNNNNNNNNNNNNNNNNNNNNNNNNNNNNACACACACUAUCAAAGGUAGCUUUUUCAUGAAGAGCAGAGCAAUUAAAAUAGCGAGAUAGUUAUGAUCGUGCAAUGUGUAGUCCCCUGGGCUUUCUAAUUGAGUCGUGUAGUGAGUGUUCGGUCAUGUGGUUUACCGGCUCGACUCAAAAAGGCUUCGAACUAUUCACUGACCGCAUAUAAAAUUUAUAAUGGUCGUGCAAUGUGUAGUCCCUUGGGCUUUCUAAUUGAGCCUUGUAGCGAGCUUUCGGCCACGUGAUUUACUGACUCAACUCAAAAAGGCUUCGAACUAUUCACAGACCAAUUGAUUGACAUUUUAUAUAUAGAAUUAACGAAAAUUCAAGAGUAGCUUUCACUCAUUUGAAGCGGCAGCUUUUCCUUAUGAGUGUGUUCAACCAUGACAAGACUGUGAAGGGUAGUAAAUAUGCUAAAGCCUCUGUAGCUAUCAUUUGGGGAUUGAUGAAGUUCUACCUCACAAGAUUCGAAAGUACAGAUAGUAUCCAAUACACAAGGGGUCUCAUCACAUGCAAUAUGUCUAAUGCAUAACCUAGAUGAACAAAAUGCAGUAUGCGUGAUGUGUCCAUAAAACUUUAAAAGUUGCAAGUCUGGACACAGACUAAUGCAACAGUUUAUGCAACUGCACAGGUCAGACAAUACAAAUUCCAAGCGAAUUUCGCAAGGAAUCAAACCUUUGUGCAUCUAGGGGUUUAGUAAAGAUGUCAGCAAGUUGUUUCUCCGUUGUGACAUACUCUAAUGAGACAGUUCCUUCCUCUACAAGAUUUCUAAUGAAAUGGUAGCGAAUUUCAAUAUGCUUAGUUCGAGAGUGCUGUACUGGAUUCUUGGAAAUAUUAAUCGCACUCACAUUGUCACAAUAAAUAUGCAAUAAAUCUUGACUAAUACCAUAAUCACAUACCAUUUGUUUCAUCCAUAAGAGUUGGGCACAACAACUACCAGCGGCGAUAUAUUCCGAUUCAGCAGUGGAAAGCGAGAUACUAUUCCGUUUUUUGCUGUACAAGGACACGAGAUUGUUCCCAAGAUAGAAACAUCCUCCAGUUGUGAUUUUUCGAUCGUCUGCAUCACCUGCCCAAUCAGCAUCGCUAAAGCCUCGGGUUUGAAUUCCUUCUUCUACCGGGCCAAUGACUUGAUCCACUGGAUGAUUCUUCUUGACUUUUCUUGAGGGUUCCUUGUGAGUUUGAUCAUCCAAUUCGAGAGGCCUGACUUCAGCUUCGUCUCCUGGUCGAAGAUAGACUCGAUUUAUGAUAUGACAUGCAAUGUUAACUGCUUCUGCCCAAAAACGAGGAGCGAUCUCCUUUGCGUUCAUCAUGACCCUGGCCAUCUCUUGCAGAGUGCGAUUUUUGCGUUCAACCACUCCAUUUUGUUGAGGUGUUUUAGGUGCGGAGAAUUCAUGAGAUAUUCUUUUGUGCCAAAGCACUGUAGAGUCUGACAGACUGUUGAAACAGUUCAUACCAGCAGAGACAAGAAUAUAGCAGUUGUCAGAUGAUCGAGUUCCUUGAAUAACACAAUUCUCAUCUUUGUCUAAUACUCGACAUGCGAAUUUGUUGAAUCUGACUUCAAGAUCUUGAUCACAUAGCUGGCUGAUGCUUAUCAGAUUUGACGUGAGUCCUUCUACAUGUAGUACAUUCUUCAGCUUUGGCAGAUUCUCAUGAUUUAGCGAUCCUUUCCCUAGCACUUCACCCUUUUUUCCGUUUCCAAAGGUAACAGCUCCACCGGUGAUUUGUUGAUAGUUUUUCAGAAACUCUUUAACACCGGUCAUAUGUCGUGAACACCCACUGUCAAAAUACCAAUCAUUAGUAGUACUUGCUUUUAAAGAAGUAAUCGCAGAUAAGCAUUUAAACGUGGACUUUUCAACCCAAAUUUUUUGCUGAGGUCUAUUGGAAAUAUCAAUUUUAUUUUUGGGUUUUUGAGAGGGUGAAGGAAAAUAAUCAGCCCUAGCAGAGUAAAGAGAACGAGCCACAAGCUUUUUCACAAGUUUUAAAUAUUUGAAACAUCUAGGACGUAUGUGACCUGGAUUUUGACAGAAAAAACAAGUGGGAAUAAACCUUUUCUUUGAAUUGUGUUUCGUUGCUUCAACAGUUGCAACUGUUUGUGAGACAGAAGCUUGUUUAACAAAGUUGAUUUUUCUGUUUUGAUCUUCCUUUCGCUUUAGAUCAACUUUGGGUAGCUGACUCCCUCCUAUGCCUAGACGAUUAUAGUUUGGCUUGUUGUUGCUUAAGAUUUCAUCUAGAUUACCUCUACCCAAGUUCAAUUUUGCAAUUGCUUCUUGAGUUUGAGUAAGUUUAGCCUGCAAACUAUUUUUCUCUUGAUCACUAGAUAUGACCCUUUCCUCAAGAGUAGAGAUUCUUACCUUUAGUGUCUUGUUUUCCUCUACAAGCACAAACUUCUCCUUUUCCAGGAAGUUAUUUACCUUAACGACGUCGAGCCAUUUUUGGUACAUUUUUUCAUAUACCUCCUUUACUUCAUCCAAGGUUGGUUCUUCCUCAUCACUGCUGCUGUUCGGAUCCUCUGCAAAAGAAGAAUUUUCGUUUAGAUUUUUGUCAUAAUCAGAACACAUAUUUUCAUACCUGGAUUCUGUUUCACAGUCUGUUGCAACAGUUGAAGCAACAGUUGAUUCUGAGCUGUCCAGAGGAACUUUGCUGCUAAAUGCUACAAAGUUAGUGACUUGAUUGUUGUUUCCUUGGUCAUCAUCAGAUUCUUCUUCAUCGCUCCAACCAGUAGUAAGUGACAUUUUCUUCUUUUUCUUCAGGGUGUUUGCGCAUUCUGAUUGAAUGUGACCAAAGCCUUCGCAUUCUCGACAUUGUAUUCUUCUUGGUUUUGACUCCUCUGAGUUAUCUUGAUUUGAAUUUCUCCUAGAAUUUUGAAAAUUCACGGGUUUCCCUGUGCUUGGAAGAUUUCCCCUUUUUUCGAUCUUUUUGAGAAAUUUCCCAAAAUUUUUCGAUAGUAGUGCCAAGGAUUCUUCAACUGUUUGCUCAUCUUCUUGAGUUGACGAAUUUUGGGGCGUUGCAUAUGAUGUUUCUGCUUGAAAGGCUAUCUUCUUUUCUCUAGACUUUUCACGAUGAUUUUCACCAUGAUUGAGUUCUUGUGCUAGAAGUUUCCCCAUGAGUUCGUCUAGUUUGAGCGUGUCAACGUCUCUGACUUCUUCAAUGGCAGCAAUUCGGUAAGCGAAUCUUUCAGGUAAUGAGCGCAUCGCUUUUCUCACUAAUUUGCUUUCUGAGUAUGGUUCACCGAGUGCGUAUGAUUCAUUGGAGAUAUCACAUAAUUUAGCAUGGAAGUCAGUGAUCGUCUCAUUCUCCUCCAUCUUCAAAUUUUCGAAUUUGGUGGCCAACAUCUGUAACUUGGAUGUCCUUACAGUUGACGUUCCUUCGUAUGUGACUUGAAGAAUUUCCCAAGCUCUCUUUGCAGAUUCACAUGACGCUAUUAGUUUAAAUUGAUUAUCAUCAACACCACUAAAUAUUGCGUUUAGGGCCCUCGAGUUGUAGUUUGCGAGUAGUAUUUCUCCAUCACUCCAAUCUGCUUCUGGUUUGAAUACUUCCUCUUUGUCUUCUCCUUUGAUCAUGGGAGGUGUCCAACCAGUUAUGAUGGCGCGCCAUGCUCUCUCAUCUAGGGAUUUGAUAAACAUCUUCAUUUUUGAUUUCCAGUAUGAGUAGUUGGAGCCGAUUAGAAGAGGUGGACGAGUAGUUGAAGAUCCUUCUCGUUGAGUAUUCAUAUCUGCACAAAAUAAGAGUAAUCAGUUCCCAAAAUCUCACUAGAUAUAUUUAGUGACAGGCUCUGAUACCAAUUGUUAGAAUUAUUUUGUGCAAAUUAAUUAUAAAUUUGUGUCCGAUAAAUUCCAGAUUCAGUUUUAGCUACUGUUCUACUGUUUUACGAAGAGUUGCAACAGUUAAUGGAACAGUAAUAAAAAGACACAAAUUUUAAAGUGGUUCGAAUACAAUUGUACCCUACAUCCACGGGGACCUGCAAAUGAAAUUCACUAAUUUUUAGUUUUACGAAUACAGUAAUAGGACUUAAUCGAAAAUGCAAAGACUCCCUCUUUGUCGACGCCGUUCUUGUAUCCUACGUUGAAUUGUGAAUCUUCACUUUGCAGCACGUCCCUUUCCGCACGGUUGAAAUUCCUUCAACGCUGAGUCCCUCAGUCGGCGGAUCGACCUCCUCCCGAGAUCUUCUGAGUUCUCCUCCCGAAGAACCGAUCUUCUUUUCGCGUGAAAGAAGCAAAUCUUUUGCUGUGUUUUUCUUCUCGAAUAAGAUCACAACUUAGGAGCAGCAACGUAAGAGCAGAAAAAGUUUUUCUCUCAAAUAAAAGGGACAACGUAUAAAAACGUUGAUGCUGCCCUUCUUAUACUUCAUUUGGUGAAUUAGUAGAGCCCUACAAAAAUUAGAGCCCAUUAGGUUAGAAAUACUCUUCACGUAAGGAACAAGGAGUUAUGUAAAACAAGGAAAGUCUUAGUCAAUUAAAUUCCUUGUUAAUAAAACACUUAGGCAAUUAAAUAAAUUAAUGACAAAAUAAGAGUUUAAAGAACUAAGGAAACUUCCCUAGUUUUUAUACACGUUUUUCGCACACGUGUUGAAAAACCGAAAUAGAAUCCUCUCGGAUUCUAACACCCAAUAAUAAACAUAAGUACUUACACAUAAUUAUUAAAAAAUCGAUCCAAAAUGAAAGGGCAAAAAUAGAUAUCUAGUGAAUAAAAAACUAUAAUAAUUUUGAUUUUUGAAUUCUUCAACUCCAAUCGAGAUGUGUCUUCUCACGUGCUUUUUUUUUUUUUUUUUUUUAUUUAAUUACGGAUACCCUGAGAUAGGAUUAAAUAACUUACAAGUUUCAGUGGAUUUUGGUACGCCGUAAAACUAGUAGCUCCUUAUAAAUAAUAACGUUAUGAAUGAAUUGUAUAAAUUACUUUUUGUAAAAUAAAUGAACCAUGUGAAUAACAUUACUGAUAUCGACUGAAGUAAGAAUGGAGAUAUAUUUGGAAAUUCAAAACAAAUAUUCUAUGUGCUUUUCAAGAUUUGGUUACUCGUAGUCAUAACUCUUAAUUCUGUAAGUGUGUAAUUGUGAGACAAAUAAAUAGCCUAGCUAGGGAGUUAUUUGUAAUAUCAAUUUACUGUUGGCGCCAGAUUUUCGACUAUUGAAAAUCGAGGAAAUCCGCCGAGUUUUUGGAAUUAAAAGAUGGGCAAAUAUUUAUUUCCAUGUUUAUUUUGGGAAUUAUUUAGAGUCCUAUAUUUGUAAUAUUCCUAUUAGGACUUUGAUUUAUUUCCAGUAUCUUAUUUUAGUUAGGUCUCUUUGUACUUAUCUAGAAUAGAGUUAGAAAUCGGCUAGGAUUCUACUUACCUAGUUAUACGAUUUCUUGGAGAUCAAGCAAGGGCUUGGGAGGCAAAAUUCGUGCCUAUAUAAAGCCUCACAAGUCAUUGAAGAUCAACACUUUUAUUGGAGAAAAACCUCUUAUCGUAUUGAAGUUGUGCUAGGGCAGUUUGCGGAGCAGGAGUGUGCCAUCGUUGCGUGUGCCAACAUAUACAGAGUUGAUGUAUAGAUCUCGGGAGAGGUCAUCCACGUUUCUGAAGGGAGUUCAGGCUACAUAUACAGAGUUGAUGUAUAGAUCUCGGGACAGGUCAUCCGCGUUUCUGAAGGGAGUUCAGGCUACAUAUACAGAGUUGAUGUAUAGAUCUCAGGAGAUGUCAUCCGCGUUUCUGAAGGGAGUUCAGGCUUGAAGAAGGUUCAACGCACGCGGAGUGGAGCUGUUGUAGAGAGACACGAAGUUCGAGUUGUGUACAAGAACGGCGUAAAAAUUAAAGAGGGGGUCUUUAUUAUUUUUAGGGCAAAUUACGGCCACCCCCUGAGGUAUGGUCAAAUUACGAAAAAACCCCUCUUGUUUGGGUAAUUACAACCACCCCCCUCCUUUUAAAUAUUUUUACGUAAAAUUUAUGUAAUUCGGUUAUUUACCGAACCAAAUCGUAUAUUUAGUUCGGUAAAUGGUAUGAAAUGUUGGCGUACCAAAAUUUUGUUUCGGUUUUACCGAAUUAACAUCCCUAAAUUUACCUCUUGAGGGGUCUUUUCGUAAGAUAAAUACAUAGUUGAGGGGGGUGGCUGGGGGUUUUCGUAAUUUCACCAUAGCUCAGGGGGUGGCCGUAAUUUGCCCUUAUUUUUAAUAAGUCCUAUUAAUGUACACUGUAAAUCUGAACUAGUGAAAUCGUGUUGCAAGUCCACGUGGAUGUAGGGCACAUUUGUGUCUGAACCACAUUAAUUUAUUGUGUUCAUUUAUUCUGCUUUCAGUAGCUUAUAACUGUGUUAACACAAGAAUUAUAGUUGUAACUAAAUACUGUUCCCACAACUUAACAGUUACAACUUAGGUUAAUUGAUUUCUAUAGGCAUAUAAAUCUACAUUUAUAGUGAUUUGUAAGUUAGUUAGUCUUACUUCGAAUAGGUGUCCGUAAUUUAAAUUUUUUAUUUUGCUUUAGUUUUACUUUGCAUUCUCAAUAUAACAUUUUAGCAAUUUACAUCAUAGAAUAAAAUUAAUAGCAUUUUCUACAUGUGAAAAUCAACACAUUAUUCAUAUUGCAACCCGUUUUGAGUUUGUUAAAGUUAACCUAGACAUUUUUUUCUUCAUUAUUGCAAUUUUAGGGUACACAAUUUAAGUCAUUUUCUUUUUUCAUUAUUGUCCUUUUCUUUUAUAUGUUUCAAUUUCUUUUCACAAAGAUCAUAUAUAUAUUUUUUCGUAGUCAUUCUUUGAAAUAAAAUUAUUACCACGUAUUCAACGAAUACGUAGGCCUCUACCUAUAUCGGAUUAGAUUAUAUUGGUUAUACGAGAUCACAUUAGUUCACUACAGAUUAUUUAAUUAUUAUGAUAUUUGGUUCAUUAGAUUAAAUUAAGACAAAAAAAAAAAGAGAUCGAAUUACAUGUUUUCAAAUAUAGUCCACGAUGGUUUGGUUUCGUAGAACCUAUGGUGUAUUUCACCAAGUGUAGAAUCUCAUAAAUCGCUUACGACAGUAAAAAGAAAAAUUAAAUGUAUUCACUAUGUACAAACAUACAAUAACUCAUUUUUUUGAUUCUAAAAUAUUUUUUUCUCCACCAUAAAAUGAUUUUAUGUUAGCAGUAAAAACACACUUUCGACCAAUAGUGUUUUUUUUUUCUUCUUCAUUUAAAGAAUAAUACAUGAAACAUAGAUAAUUAAUGCAGCAAUUUUAGUUUCAAAAUACCAUUGAUCCUUGGCAAGAGUGAAUGAGUUUUCUUGUUUCUAUUCACUUUUUUUUUUUUUUUUUUUUUUUUUAUACACAGUAGGAUCUCGAUAAAUUAACAACCUUAUUUAAAUAAUAAUUUAUGCAGAUGCCGACUCAGUUACAUCAUGCUAAAAUUAAUAAUUUAAUAAUUAAAUAUUUCGUUAAAUUAAUAAAAUUAUGCAUAAAUUUAUAAAUGUUUAACUGUAUUAUCAAAUAAUUAGAAUAUAAUUUGGCCACACAACUACUACACAAACAAUAAAAGUCAGACAGUAUCAAUUUGAACAUAUAUAAUAAAAGAUACUAUAUAUUGUUGUGAUUCUUGAAUAUACUGGAAAAGUUCUUGUUCAAUCCCAACUAUUCCAAGAACAAAUGUUAUUAUUAUUAUUAUUAUCAAAGUCAACCCCCAAAAUUGAAUUAUAAAAAAAAAAAAAAAGUCAACUCCCAAACUAAUUGCUAAAACAAUUUAUUGCCCCCUCCUUCGGACAUGCUUUUGAGCCACCUCCCCCAUUUAAUAAAAAAAAAUAAAAAAUUUACAGAUGGGAUUUUUUAUUUUUUUUAAUUUGGCAAGUUGUAUGUAUCUGUACGUAUGUAAUGCAAGCCUCGUUGUUCUUUCAUCCUCUAUAUAAACGGACGACACCGUAUCUUAAUCUCCAUCAUCAGCCUCGGGUAAAUCAAUUAAUAGUAAUCCAACUUAAUUAGCUUUCCCCUGCAGAUUAAUUAUUGAUUAAUCCACCAGAAACGCUAAUUAAUUAAUUACCGAUCAUAUCAAAAAAUGGCGAUUCAGUACCGUUUCCUUCUGGCUUCGGUGUUUGUUUCUUGCUUGGUGGCCACUUGCUACGGCGGCGUUUCCUUCAAAUCUCUUCAGCCAACUCUCACCGUCACCGCCACCCAUAAAGAAGGAGGUAAUAAUUAAUUAAAUAUUCUCUCUCUCUCUCUCUCUCUCUCUCUCUCUCUCUCUCUCUCUCUCUCUCUCUCUCUCUCUCUCUCUCUCUCUCUCUCUCUCUCUCUCUCUCUCUCUCUCUCUCUCUCUCUCUCUCUCUCUCUCUCUCUUAUAACCUAAUUGAAAUUGCAUGCAGUUCUGAAAGCUGGGUUGGACAACGUCACGGUGACGUGGGCGCUGGACCCGAGCGCGCCAGCUGGCAGCGACGCUUCAUACAAGACAAUAAAGGUGAAGCUAUGCUACGCGCCGGUGAGCCAAGUUGACCGCGGCUGGAGGAAGACAAAGGACGACCUCACAAAGGACAAAACCUGCUCCCACAAGAUCGUCGCCAAACCCUACAUCGCCGGCGGCGCAGUCGCCACCGCCACCUGGACGGUGCUGAGGGACGUCCCCACCGCCAAGUACUUCGUCAGGGCCUACGCACACGACGCUGCUGACGUGGAACUGACGUACGGACAGACAACAAGCGCCGACAAGAAGACGAACCUUUUCGACAUCGAGGCCGUCACAGGACGACACGUGUCGCUCGACAUUGCGUCGAUCUGCUUCUCAGCUUUCUCGGUUGUUUCUCUGUUCGGAUUCUUCUUCCUCGAGAGGAGGAAGACCAGGAUUGCAGAAGCUAAGUGAUGAGGGUUUUUUCUAUGUCGUGUUUUAUUUUUAUUUAUGUUGUGUGUACAAGCAAAAGCGUGUUUUCUAUACAUUUUGAUGUUAAUUGUGUUUAAAUUUCAAUUUUAUCGAUGAUCGAUCGAUCGAGUUUCCGACAAAAUAAAAACUCGAGAGAAUCAAUUGAAUUUUGUUUUUUUGGUAUGUAAUUUAUAAUUUACUUUGUAAGUAUAUAUAUAUUUUUUUUACAUGGUGGUAAAUCUUGAACAUAUAUAUUGUCGAGGAUUUAUAUUUUUAAAUCAUGGUGAUAUAGAAAAUUUUGGCUCUGCGGAUAUUGAUUUGUAUGAAAUUAAUUAAUUCAUCCUUUUGUGUUGGAAGUUGAAACUGUUCUUUACUUUAUUUAUUGAUGAAAUGUAUUGUGUACGCAUGUGAACGUACGUGUAAGAGUUUAGACUAACACGGUAACACGAGUCCCAAUUAAUUAUAUUUGUUGUUUCUCGGAUAGUAAGUGAAAAUUCCCCGUUUUGAAAUUGCAUUGAGAUAGUUUACUUUUUGAAAAUAAUUAGUGAUAACCGUCUUUUUAUGUUUUUUUUCGCGAAAUUCUGGAUUGAAUAUUGGAUGUAAAUCAACUAUGUUGAAUUAUUAAUUGACUACAGUUGAUUAAAGUAUUACUGCAUAUAUUAGACCUCAAAACAAUAAAUUCACUACAAAAUAAAUAUAGUUGACUUAUCAAUUGACUUAUAGCCUAUUAUGUAAAUUGUCACAUUACAAUAAUAUAAUCAAAUGAAGAAAAAUCGGAGUGUAUAUAUCGGACGGAUGGGAGAACCUCUGCGACGCAAUCCGUUGGUCUGGGCCAUUGAGGAGGAAAUACUUGUCGAUUUAUGAGAGGAGGGUUGUUUCAAUUUCUGAAGUGAAAGUGUUAUUUGAUGUCCAGACUCCAGACAAUAAUAGUGCACCGACGAUGGUGGAGGUUUUUUAUGUUUAGAUGGUGGUGCAUCGGCGGCGAUGGAUCAGAGGCGGUGUUUGAUUUAGAGACGAUGGUGCCUCGUCAGCGGCCAUCGCUAGAAAUAAAUGUGGAGAUAUAGGGUAAAUUACAACCACCCUCUGAGGUAUGUUAAUAUAUGAAAAAACCCCUCUUGUUUGGAUAAUUACAUCUACCCCUCUCAACUAUGAUUUUUUCUUACACAUUCACCCUUAUGGUGUCAAAUUCAACAUAAUCAUCGAGAUUUCGCGGAAUGUGCUCUAGUUUGAACUCGUUUUGUGUAAAAAUACAGUUUCUGAUGCACCACAAUCUAAUAUAUACAAGCCAAAAAACACAUAUUAUGAUCAUCUUGCUUCAAAAUGUGGAAUUCGAAUAGGAUAAAACGGGUACAAAAGUGAUAAUAUUCCAUAUAAUCUCGAAGAUUGCACUAAAUUUGAAACCGCAAGGGUGGACGUGUAAGAAGUUUUAUAGUUGAGGGGUUAUUGUAAUUACCCCAAAAAAGAGGGGGUUUUUCAUAAUUUAACCAUAACUCAAGGGUGAUUAUAAUUUACUUAAAUUAAUUAAUUAAAUUAGUACUUCACCAAUUAUUAAAAUCGGAUCCCAAAUAAAUUGGCGCAAAUAGACAUCUUGUCAAGAAAACUAUAAUAAUUUGGAAUUUUUCAACUCUAAAUCGAGAUGUUUUUUCUCAUGUGUCUCUUGCCCUAACAUUAUAGCCAACUCAUUUCCUUUUUCUUUGACUUAAUCCUACUUUGCACCCUAGAAAUGUAGCAUGUUUACACUUUGCACCCUAAAAUAACACAAUUAUCAUAUUUUGCACCCUAUAAAACAAUAAAUCGUUCAUAAUGCUCCAUAGUUUGAGUUUGUGAAAGUUAAUGAGACAUUUUUGUGUUAAUAAUUUUACUUUUUAGUGUGCAAGAUUUUAAAUCAAUUUUUUUUUCUUUUUUUUUUUAACCUUUCAGCCUAAAUUAUGUACAAAGUGUAAAAGGAAAUAAAUUAAAUAUCUAAUCAAACAUUUUACAAGAAAAUUUUCAUAAGAAUCUUUAAAAUGUUUUUUGGAUAUGUAUAUAUUUAUUUUAUUGGAAUUGAAAGAAAAAGCAGUUAUAUUUCUUUUUUGCAUGAAAAUAUAAUUUUAUGUAAUUUGGUGAAGGAAAGUUUCAAUGUAAGUCUUUUAUUUUCCUCCACCAUUCAACCUUUUAUUACUAAAUUAUUUAAAAAUUAUAAUUUAUCGAUGUAAAAAAAUUCCAUCAAAUAUUUUUAUCAGAGACCUACCAAACGAAACCAAUAAUUUAGGAGAAUUUUCUUUUGCGCAACAAAUUAAAAUAUAGUUUUUAUUUUUAUUUUUAUAAUAUAUAUACACAUGUGAAUAUAUUAUUUUCGAACUUUUUAUUUUUGAAAUUGGGGUUAAAGAGUAUAGUAAAAUAAAAAGUUUCAAUUGGUAUUUUGCACCUCGAGAAUAAUUUUAUUAAAAGAUGAAAUUACUCUCAUUAAUCUCUAGAAUAUCCAAUAUUGGGAUGCAAUGUGAAUAAUUUCUUAUCUUUCGAGGUACUAUUAAUUAUUUUUGCGGGUGCAAAGUACCCAAAUUAAACAUUAUAUUUCAGAUGUGCAAAAGUGAAUUAAACAUUUUUCUUUAUAUGUUUAAGUUUCUUUCACCAAGAUUAUAUCUAUUUCCGUACUCAUUAUUUGAGUUAUUGGCACGUAUUUUACGUACUCCAUUAUUAUUUUUGAACAAGCACAACAAGUUCUAAACGUUAACUUUGAAGACAUACGGCCUGUUUGGCUAAUCUUAUUUUAAAUAACUGAUAAACUCUUACGUAUAAUAAGUUGUUUUAAGAUCAGUUGAUAAGUUGCCACGUCUUAUUUUUAGAGUUAAUUUUUAAAGUGUUUAGAUAAUGAGUUUAUAACCUAUUUUUACUUAUUAUAAGAUUAUAAAUAAAAAUGUAUGGUAGAGGCCGUACUUAUUAUAUUAUUUGCUUUUCAAUAGCUUAUUUUUUAAAUUUUAAAAUUCUUUUUAAAAAAAAUUAUCAAACAAUUUGAAAUAGCUUAUAAACUCUUAUUAAUAACUUAUAAGUUUAUCCAAACACCCUCAUAGUCAGUUAAUUUGCAUAUCACAUUAGGAGUUCGGUCUAUAAUCGAUUUUUGGUUUCUAAAAUUUCGGUAAUUCGGUACGUACAUAAUAUAUUACCGAAUUUUCAACCAAUAGUAUUUUUUUUUUCCCAUUCCAAUAAAAUUAUAUAGAUAAUACCCCUCAAUCUUAGUUUCAAAAUUUAAUUACCAACCCUUGGCAAAUGGCAAGAGUGAAUGAGUUUUCAAAACUUCUAUCUACAUUAAUUUCUAUUGUAAAAUAAUUAAUUAGAAUCCGGCCACACAACUAUUACACAAACACACAAAAAAAGUCAGACAAUAUCAAUUUGAAAUUAGAAUAAAAGAUACUAAAUUUAUGAUUCUUGAAUAUAUCUGGAAAAGUUCCUCUUCAAUUCCAACUAUACAAGAAUCAUGUUAUUAAUUUAAGUCAACUCCGAAACUAAUGGCUUAAAUAUUAAUUGCCCCCUCCUCUGGACAUACUUUUGGGCCACUCUUACAAUAUUAAGUAAUCUAUUUAUUUUUGUUUUUAUUUGCAAGUUGUGUGUAUUUGACUUUUUCGCUUACGUUGUAGAAUUAAACUAAUUAGGGUAAAUUACGAAAACCCUCUGAACUUACGUUAAACUACGAACAACACCCUCAUCUAUUCGUAAUUAUUAAAAUUCUCCAACGUUUGUUUCUGUCUUAUAUCGACCCCCUUACGGUGUAUUUUUUUCACCUGAAUCUUUUUUAUUCCAGUUCAUAUUUCCUAGAAAAUAUCAAUUCUACCCCUACAGACUUGGCGUUUCUUUAUGCUGCAUUUUAAAGACAAAGAUUACCCUCAACUAAAAAGUUGCGAAAAUGUUAUUUCAGAAGAAGUAAAGAUUCCGUGUAGAGGCCUCAUGAUGGUAGUUUUUGCUUUGAAAAAAAAUGCCACGCACGUCUGUAGGGGGGUACGCAAUUGACAUUUUUCGAGAAAUAUUAUCUGGAAUAAAAAAUAUUCCUUGAAAAAUCGCAUCGUAAGGGGGUCGUUGUAAGACGAAAACAAACGUUGGGAGAAUUUUAGUAAUUACGGAUAUAUGGGGGUAUUUUGGUAAUUUAGUAUAAGUUCAGGGGUUUUUUCCGUAGUCCACCGAAUGAACUAAUUAAUUAAUUAGUGCUUCGUGUUCAUUAAUGCUCUAUAUAAACAAGCGAAAAUGAUUCAUUUUCAAAUAUCAGACAAUCAACAAUAGGAAUAUUCCUCAUCUUCUCCAACUCUUCCUCUCCUAGAUUGUUCUGAGAGUACGUAACUGUUCUUCAAAUGGCGAUUCAGUACCGUUUCCUUCUGGCUUCGGUGUUUGUUUCUUGCUUGGUGGCCACUUGCUACGGCGGCGUUUCCUUCAAAACUCUUCAGACAACUCUUGCCGUCACCGCCACACACAAAGAAGGAGGUAAAAAUCAAAUUCAAGAUUCUCUAUCUCUCUCUCUCUCUCUCGAUCUCUCUCUCUCUCUCUCUCUCUCUCUCUCUCUCUCUCUCUCUCUCUCUCUCUCUCUCUCUCUCUCUCUCUCUCUCUCUCUCUCUCGAUCUCUCUCUCUCUCUCUCUCUCUCUCUCUCUCUCUCUCUCUCUCUCUCUCUCUCUCUCUCUCUCUCUCUCUCUCUCUCUCUCUCUCUCUCUCUCUCUCUCUCUCUCUCUCUCUCUCUCUCUUAUAACCUAAUUGAAUGAAUUGCAGUUCUGAAAGCUGGGUUGGACAACAUCACGGUGACGUGGGCGCUGGACCCGAGCGCGCCAGCUGGCGCCGACGCUUCAUACAAGACAAUAAAGGUGAAGCUAUGCUACGCGCCGGUGAGCCAAGUUGACCGCGGCUGGAGGAAGACAAAGGACGACCUCACAAAGGACAAAACCUGCUCCCAUAAGAUCGUCGCCAAACCCUACAUCGCCGGCGGCGCAGUCGCCACCGCCACCUGGACGGUGCAGAGGGACGUCCCCACCGCCAAGUACUUCGUCAGGGCAUACGCACACGACGCUGCUGACGUGGAACUGGCGUACGGACAGAC
RNAcentral lists this long non-coding RNA (16958 nucleotides) under Erythranthe guttata (spotted monkey flower). RNAcentral describes it as "long non-coding RNA (EGUT_LNC003355)". Lineage: Eukaryota; Viridiplantae; Streptophyta; Magnoliopsida; Lamiales; Phrymaceae. The record is from RNAcentral.